This 256-nucleotide ribosomal RNA is filed under the name uncultured bacterium. Its description in RNAcentral is "partial 16S ribosomal RNA". It matches the Rfam family "Bacterial small subunit ribosomal RNA", at positions 524 to 776 of the family's 1533-position model. The record is from RNAcentral.
UACGGAGGGGGCUAGCGUUGUUCGGAAUUACUGGGCGUAAAGCGCACGUAGGCGGCUUUGUAAGUUAGAGGUGAAAGCCCGGGGCUCAACUCCGGAAUUGCCUUUAAGACUGCAUCGCUAGAAUUGUGGAGAGGUAAGUGGAAUUCCGAGUGUAGAGGUGAAAUUCGUAGAUAUUCGCAAGAACACCAGUGGCGAAGGGCGGCUCGACUGGCCCGAUACUGACGCUGAGGCACGAAAGGCGUGGGGAGCAAACAGG